GCUGGGCGUGGUGGUGCACACCUGUGAUCCCAGCAGCUUGGGAGGCUAAGGCAGGAGGAUCUAGAGUUCAAAGCCAGCCUCAGCAACUUAUCAAGGCUCUAAGCAACUCAGCAAGACCCUGUCUCUA
This 127-nucleotide small RNA is filed under the name Marmota monax (woodchuck). Lineage: Eukaryota; Metazoa; Chordata; Mammalia; Rodentia; Sciuridae. The record is from RNAcentral.